GUUCUUCGGAAUUAGUGAAAAGCGAACUGCUCAGUAACACGUAGCUAACCUACCCUUAAGUCAAGGAUAUUCUCGGGAAACUGAGGUUAAUACUUGAUAAGGAUAAAACCCUGGAAUGAUUUUAUCCUCAAGCUUAUGCUUAAGGAUGGGGCUGCGGUGGAUUAGGUUGUUGGCGGGGUAAUAGCCCACCAGGCCUGUGAUCUGUAAGGGCUCUUAGCGGAGAGGCCCUGAGAGGGAAUCUGAGACACUAUUCCCAGCCCUACGGGGUGCAGCAGUUAGGAAUAUUUUGCAAUGCGCGCAAGCGUGACAAAUUGAGCUAGAGUGCUUCUCAUUUGAGAAGCUUUUGUCGAAUGUAAAAAGUUCGACGAAUAAGGACUGGGUAAGACUAGUGCCAGCCGCCGCGGUAAUACUAGCGGUCCAAGUCGCAGCCAUUUUUAUUGGGUCUAAAACAUCCGUAGCUUGCUUGAUAAGUUUCUUGUGAAAUUUUGUAUCUCAAAUACAGAGCGUGCAAGAAAUACUGUCAAGCUAGAGACUGGAAGACGUAGGAAGUACGAUCAAAGUAGUGGUAAAAUACAUUAAUCUUGAACGGACUCACAAUAGCGAAGGCAUCCUACGAGGACAGUUCUGACAGUAAGGGAUGAAGGCUAGGGUCGCGAAACAGAUUAGAUACCUGUGUAGUCCUAGCAGUAAACACUGCACACUAAACAUUAGUACCUCUUCGAGAGGUAUUAGUGCUGAAGGGAAGCCGAAGAGUGUGCUACCUGGGAAGUAUAGUCGCAAGGCCGAAACUUAAAGGAAUUGGCGGGUGGACACUACAACGGGUGACGCGUGCGGUUCAAUUAGAUUCUACACCGUGAACCUCACUAGGACCGACAGCAGAAUGAAGGUCAGUCUAAAGGGCUUACCUGACACGCUGAGAGGAGUUGCAUGGCCGACGUCAGCCUGUGCUGUGAAGUGACCUGUUAAAUCAGGUAACAGGCAAGACCCACAUACAUAUUUACUACGUGUACAAUAUGUAGAUUGCCUUGGUAACAAGGAUGAAAGUGUGGGCUACGUUAGGUGAGUACAGCCCGAAUGCCCUAGGCAACACGCGCGCGUCAAUGGUGGAUACAAUGGGAUGCGACUCUGAAAAGAGAAGCUAAUCUCUUAAAAUCCAUCUCAGUCCAGAUUGAGGUUUGUAACUCAACCUCAUGACGCUGGAAUCCGUAGUAAUCGGGUGUCAUCAGCGCCCGGUG
RNAcentral lists this ribosomal RNA (1235 nucleotides) under metagenome. RNAcentral's name for it is "bacterial SSU rRNA". It matches the Rfam family "Archaeal small subunit ribosomal RNA", at positions 57 to 1320 of the family's 1478-position model. The record is from RNAcentral.